This 461-nucleotide ribosomal RNA is filed under the name uncultured bacterium. RNAcentral describes it as "bacterial SSU rRNA". It matches the Rfam family "Bacterial small subunit ribosomal RNA", at positions 917 to 1382 of the family's 1533-position model. The record is from RNAcentral.
GGACCCGCACAAGCGGUGGAUGAUGUGGAUUAAUUCGAUGCAACGCGAAAAACCUUACCUAGCCUUGACAUGUCAGGAAUCUUUAAGAGAUUAGAGAGUGCCCGCAAGGGAACCUGAACACAGGUGCUGCAUGGCUGUCGUCAGCUCGUGUCGUGAGAUGUUGGGUUAAGUCCCGCAACGAGCGCAACCCUUGUCACUAGUUGCUACGCAAGAGCACUCUAGUGAGACUGCCGGUGACAAACCGGAGGAAGGUGGGGAUGACGUCAAGUCCUCAUGGCCCUUAUGGCUAGGGCUUCACACGUCAUACAAUGGUCGGAACAGAGGGCAGCGAAACCGCGAGGUGGAGCAAAUCCCAGAAAUCCGAUCGUAGUCCGGAUUGCAGUCUGCAACUCGACUGCAUGAAGUCGGAAUCGCUAGUAAUCGCGGAUCAGAAUGCCGCGGUGAAUACGUUCCCGGGUCUU